This 155-nucleotide microRNA precursor is filed under the name Amborella trichopoda. RNAcentral's name for it is "MIR8565 microRNA precursor family". It matches the Rfam family "MIR8565 microRNA precursor family". Lineage: Eukaryota; Viridiplantae; Streptophyta; Magnoliopsida; Amborellales; Amborellaceae. The record is from Rfam by way of RNAcentral.
CUCCCACCCACGUGUGUAGGACUUCAAAUGAUCACUAUUAAAGUUGGCACAGAUCUCUAUAAAAAUUAUCACAUGGGUGUGAGAUUUGACUUUUCUAGAGAUUUGUACCAACUUUAAUGGUGAUCUUUUGGGGGUCCUACACACAUGGGUGGGAG